GGUCCCAAGGGUUGGUCUGUUCGCCCAUUAAAGCGGUACGCGAGCUGGGUUUAGAACGUCGUGAGACAGUUCGGUCCCUAUCCGUCGUGGGUGUGAGAUAUUUGAGGGGAUCUGCUCCUAGUACGAGAGGACCGGAGUGGACGAACCUCUGGUGUUCCGGUUGUCACGCCAGUGGCAUUGCCGGGUAGCUAAGUUCGGACGGGAUAACCGCUGAAAGCAUCUAAGCGGGAAGCCUCCCUUAAGAUGAGUUUUCCCAUGAAGCCCGUUGAAGACCACAACGUUGAUAGGCAAGGUGUGGAAGCGCAGUAAUGUGUGAAGCUAACUUGUACUAAUUGGCUGAUUGUCUUGACCAUAUAAACUCAGUGGCUUAU
RNAcentral lists this ribosomal RNA (371 nucleotides) under Legionellaceae bacterium. RNAcentral's name for it is "bacterial LSU rRNA". It matches the Rfam family "Bacterial large subunit ribosomal RNA", at positions 2561 to 2925 of the family's 2925-position model. Lineage: Bacteria; Pseudomonadati; Pseudomonadota; Gammaproteobacteria; Legionellales; Legionellaceae. The record is from RNAcentral.